GAUCAUGGCUCAGAUUGAACGCUGGCGGAAUGCUUUACACAUGCAAGUCGAACGGUAGAGGGGGCAACCCUUGAGAGUGGCGAACGGGUGAGUAAUAUAUCGGAACGUGCCCAGUCGUGGGGGAUAACGUAGCGAAAGUUACGCUAAUACCGCAUACGAUCUAAGGAUGAAAGCGGGGGAUCGCAAGACCUCGCGCGAUUGGAGCGGCCGAUAUCAGAUUAGGUAGUUGGUGGGGUAAAGGCUCACCAAGCCAACGAUCUGUAGCUGGUCUGAGAGGACGACCAGCCACACUGGGACUGAGACACGGCCCAGACUCCUACGGGAGGCAGCAGUGGGGAAUUUUGGACAAUGGACGCAAGUCUGAUCCAGCCAUUCCGCGUGCAGGAUGAAGGCCCUCGGGUUGUAAACUGCUUUUGUACGGAACGAAAAGGUUUCUCUUAAUACGAGGGGCUCAUGACGGUACCGUAAGAAUAAGCACCGGCUAACUACGUG
Molecule: ribosomal RNA, 492 nt
Filed under: uncultured bacterium
Lineage: Bacteria
Description: bacterial SSU rRNA
Rfam family: Bacterial small subunit ribosomal RNA
Source: RNAcentral